This 253-nucleotide ribosomal RNA is filed under the name uncultured bacterium. RNAcentral describes it as "partial 16S ribosomal RNA". It matches the Rfam family "Bacterial small subunit ribosomal RNA", at positions 524 to 776 of the family's 1533-position model. The record is from RNAcentral.
UACGUAGGGGCCUAGCGUUGUCCGGAUUCACUGGGUUUAAAGGGUGCGUAGGCGGGUUGUUAAGUCAGUGGUGAAAUCUCAGAGCUUAACUCUGAAACUGCCAUUGAUACUAAUGAUCUUGAAUAUUGUGGAGGUAAGCGGAAUAUGUCAUGUAGCGGUGAAAUGCUUAGAUAUGACAUAGAACACCCAUUGCGAAGGCAGCUUACUACGCAUAUAUUGACGCUGAUGCACGAAAGCGUGGGGAUCAAACAGG